GAUGAACGCUGGCGGCGUGCCUAAUACAUGCAAGUCGAGCGAACGGACGAGAAGCUUGCUUCUCUGAUGUUAGCGGCGGACGGGUGAGUAACACGUGGAUAACCUGCCUAUAAGACUGGGAUAACUUCGGGAAACCGGAGCUAAUACCGGAUAUUAUUUUGAACCGCAUGGUUCAAAAGUGAAAGACGGUCUUGCUGUCACUUAUAGAUGGAUCCGCGCUGCAUUAGCUAGUUGGUAAGGUAACGGCUUACCAAGGCAACGAUGCAUAGCCGACCUGAGAGGGUGAUCGGCCACACUGGAACUGAGACACGGUCCAGACUCCUACGGGAGGCAGCAGUAGGGAAUCUUCCGCAAUGGGCGAAAGCCUGACGGAGCAACGCCGCGUGAGUGAUGAAGGUCUUCGGAUCGUAAAACUCUGUUAUUAGGGAAGAACAUAUGUGUAAGUAACUGUGCACAUCUUGACGGUACCUAAUCAGAAAGCCACGGCUAACUACGUG
This 497-nucleotide ribosomal RNA is filed under the name uncultured bacterium. Its description in RNAcentral is "partial 16S ribosomal RNA". It matches the Rfam family "Bacterial small subunit ribosomal RNA", at positions 28 to 507 of the family's 1533-position model. The record is from RNAcentral.